This 69-nucleotide transfer RNA is filed under the name Rattus norvegicus (Norway rat). It matches the Rfam family "tRNA". From Rfam's summary of the family: Transfer RNA (tRNA) molecules are approximately 80 nucleotides in length. Their secondary structure includes four short double-helical elements and three loops (D, anti-codon, and T loops). Further hydrogen bonds mediate the characteristic L-shaped molecular structure. tRNAs have two regions of fundamental functional importance: the anti-codon, which is responsible for specific mRNA codon recognition, and the 3' end, to which the tRNAs corresponding amino acid is attached (by aminoacyl-tRNA synthetases). tRNAs cope with the degeneracy of the genetic code in two manners: having more than one tRNA (with a specific anti-codon) for a particular amino acid; and 'wobble' base-pairing, i.e. permitting non-standard base-pairing at the 3rd anti-codon position. The record is from Rfam by way of RNAcentral. Lineage: Eukaryota; Metazoa; Chordata; Mammalia; Rodentia; Muridae.
GGGGAUUUAGCUCAGUGGUAGAGCACUUGCCUAGAAAGUGCAAGGCCCUGGGUUCGGUCCCCAGCUCCG